GAAUUUUGGACAACGGGCGAAAGCCUGAGCCACAAAUGCUGCGUGCAGAAUGACGUCCUUCGGGUCGUAGACUGCUGUCGUACGGUACGAAAAGCUUUGGGUUAAUACCUUAGAGUCAUUUCGGUACCGUAAGCAUAUGAACCCGCUAACUACGUGCCAGCAGCCGCGGGAAUAAGUAGGGUGCCAGCGUUAAUCGGAAUUACUGGGCGUAAAACGUGCGCCGGCGGUUGUGUAAGACAGAGGUGAAAUCCCCGGUCUCAACCUGGGAACUGCCGUUGUGGCUGCAAGGCUAGAGUACGGCAGAGGGGGGUGGAAGUCCGCGUGUAGCAGUGAAAUGCGUAGAUAUGCGGAGGAACACCGAUGGCGAAGGCAACCCCCUGGGCCUGUACUGACGCUCAUGCACGAAAGCGUGGGGAGCAAAAA
This 423-nucleotide ribosomal RNA is filed under the name uncultured bacterium. RNAcentral describes it as "partial 16S ribosomal RNA". It matches the Rfam family "Bacterial small subunit ribosomal RNA", at positions 359 to 774 of the family's 1533-position model. The record is from RNAcentral.